CCAAUCUUGCCAAGCCUUUUAUAUUUGAUUAAAACUAUUUUCAUUGCCUUUUAGUGUCAUUAUGCUCAAAAGAUAACUAUUCAAUCAAAACAACUUGGUUACAUUUUAAACUUAUAACAAUUGGAAUUAUAGAACAGCAGUAAUAACAACCAAUCUUUGUGGAUACGAUAUAAAAAUAUUUGCCGAAAAUAUACUUUUUCAACACCCUCCAAC
RNAcentral lists this long non-coding RNA (213 nucleotides) under Lathyrus oleraceus (garden pea). Its description in RNAcentral is "Pisum sativum (pea) long non-coding RNA (PSAT_LNC014940)". The record is from RNAcentral. Lineage: Eukaryota; Viridiplantae; Streptophyta; Magnoliopsida; Fabales; Fabaceae.